RNAcentral lists this ribosomal RNA (2922 nucleotides) under Escherichia coli. RNAcentral's name for it is "bacterial LSU rRNA". It matches the Rfam family "Bacterial large subunit ribosomal RNA". The record is from RNAcentral. Lineage: Bacteria; Pseudomonadati; Pseudomonadota; Gammaproteobacteria; Enterobacterales; Enterobacteriaceae.
GGGUUGUGAGGUUAAGCGACUAAGCGUACACGGUGGAUGCCCUGGCAGUCAGAGGCGAUGAAGGACGUGCUAAUCUGCGAUAAGCGUCGGUAAGGUGAUAUGAACCGUUAUAACCGGCGAUUUCCGAAUGGGGAAACCCAGUGUGAUUCGUCACACUAUCAUUAACUGAAUCCAUAGGUUAAUGAGGCGAACCGGGGGAACUGAAACAUCUAAGUACCCCGAGGAAAAGAAAUCAACCGAGAUUCCCCCAGUAGCGGCGAGCGAACGGGGAGCAGCCCAGAGCCUGAAUCAGUGUGUGUUUAGUGGAAGCGUCUGGAAAGGCGCGCGAUACAGGGUGACAGCCCCGUACACAAAAAUGCACAUGCUGUGAGCUCGAUGAGUAGGGCGGGACACGUGGUAUCCUGUCUGAAUAUGGGGGGACCAUCCUCCAAGGCUAAAUACUCCUGACUGACCGAUAGUGAACCAGUACCGUGAGGGAAAGGCGAAAAGAACCCCGGCGAGGGGAGUGAAAAAGAACCUGAAACCGUGUACGUACAAGCAGUGGGAGCCUCUUAAUGGGGUGACUGCGUACCUUUUGUAUAAUGGGUCAGCGACUUAUAUUCUGUAGCAAGGUUAACCGAAUAGGGGAGCCGAAGGGAAACCGAGUCUUAACUGGGCGUUAAGUUGCAGGGUAUAGACCCGAAACCCGGUGAUCUAGCCAUGGGCAGGUUGAAGGUUGGGUAACACUAACUGGAGGACCGAACCGACUAAUGUUGAAAAAUUAGCGGAUGACUUGUGGCUGGGGGUGAAAGGCCAAUCAAACCGGGAGAUAGCUGGUUCUCCCCGAAAGCUAUUUAGGUAGCGCCUCGUGAAUUCAUCUCCGGGGGUAGAGCACUGUUUCGGCAAGGGGGUCAUCCCGACUUACCAACCCGAUGCAAACUGCGAAUACCGGAGAAUGUUAUCACGGGAGACACACGGCGGGUGCUAACGUCCGUCGUGAAGAGGGAAACAACCCAGACCGCCAGCUAAGGUCCCAAAGUCAUGGUUAAGUGGAAACGAUGUGGGGAAGGCCCAGACAGCCAGGAUGUUGGCUUAGAAGCAGCCAUCAUUAAAGAAAGCGUAAUAGCUCACUGGUCGAGUCGGCCUGCGCGGAAGAUGUAACGGGGCUAAACCAUGCACCGAAGCUGCGGCAGCGACGCUUAUGCGUUGUUGGGUAGGGGAGCGUUCUGUAAGCCUGCGAAGGUGUACUGUGAGGUAUGCUGGAGGUAUCAGAAGUGCGAAUGCUGACAUAAGUAACGAUAAAGCGGGUGAAAAGCCCGCUCGCCGGAAGACCAAGGGUUCCUGUCCAACGUUAAUCGGGCCAGGUGAGUCGACCCCUAAGGCGAGGCCGAAAGGCGUAGUCGAUGGGAAACAGGUUAAUAUUCCUGUACUUGGUGUUACUGCGAAGGGGGGACGGAGAAGGCUAUGUUGGCCGGGCGACGGUUGUCCCGGUUUAAGCGUGUAGGCUGGUUUUCCAGGCAAAUCCGGAAAAUCAAGGCUGAGGCGUGAUGACGAGGCACUACGGUGCUGAAGCAACAAAUGCCCUGCUUCCAGGAAAAGCCUCUAAGCAUCAGGUAACAUCAAAUCGUACCCCAAACCGACACAGGUGGUCAGGUAGAGAAUACCAAGGCGCUUGAGAGAACUCGGGUGAAGGAACUAGGCAAAAUGGUGCCGUAACUUCGGGAGAAGGCACGCUGAUACGUAGGUGAAGUCCCUUGCGGAUGGAGCUGAAAUCAGUCGAAGAUACCAGCUGGCUGCAACUGUUUAUUAAAAACACAGCACUGUGCAAACACGAAAGUGGACGUAUACGGUGUGACGCCUGCCCGGUGCCGGAAGGUUAAUUGAUGGGGUUAGCGGUAACGCGAAGCUCUUGAUCGAAGCCCCGGUAAACGGCGGCCGUAACUAUAACGGUCCUAAGGUAGCGAAAUUCCUUGUCGGGUAAGUUCCGACCUGCACGAAUGGCGUAAUGAUGGCCAGGCUGUCUCCACCCGAGACUCAGUGAAAUUGAACUCGCUGUGAAGAUGCAGUGUACCCGCGGCAAGACGGAAAGACCCCGUGAACCUUUACUAUAGCUUGACACUGAACAUUGAGCCUUGAUGUGUAGGAUAGGUGGGAGGCUUUGAAGUGUGGACGCCAGUCUGCAUGGAGCCGACCUUGAAAUACCACCCUUUAAUGUUUGAUGUUCUAACGUUGGCCCCUAAUCGGGGUUGCGGACAGUGUCUGGUGGGUAGUUUGACUGGGCGGUCUCCUCCUAAAGAGUAACGGAGGAGCACGAAGGUUGGCUAAUCCUGGUCGGACAUCAGGAGGUUAGUGCAAUGGCAUAAGCCAGCUUGACUGCGAGCGUGACGGCGCGAGCAGGUGCGAAAGCAGGUCAUAGUGAUCCGGUGGUUCUGAAUGGAAGGGCCAUCGCUCAACGGAUAAAAGGUACUCCGGGGAUAACAGGCUGAUACCGCCCAAGAGUUCAUAUCGACGGCGGUGUUUGGCACCUCGAUGUCGGCUCAUCACAUCCUGGGGCUGAAGUAGGUCCCAAGGGUAUGGCUGUUCGCCAUUUAAAGUGGUACGCGAGCUGGGUUUAGAACGUCGUGAGACAGUUCGGUCCCUAUCUGCCGUGGGCGCUGGAGAACUGAGGGGGGCUGCUCCUAGUACGAGAGGACCGGAGUGGACGCAUCACUGGUGUUCGGGUUGUCAUGCCAAUGGCACUGCCCGGUAGCUAAAUGCGGAAGAGAUAAGUGCUGAAAGCAUCUAAGCACGAAACUUGCCCCGAGAUGAGUUCUCCCUGACUCCCUGAGAGUCCUGAAGGAACGUUGAAGACGACGACGUUGAUAGGCCGGGUGUGUAAGCGCAGCGAUGCGUUGAGCUAACCGGUACUAAUGAACCGUGAGGCUUAACCUUACAACGCCGAAG